GCCAAGGUUUUUUUAAAAACCACUCAAAGCUUGUCUUUCUAUUAUU
This is a non-coding RNA of Absidia repens, 46 nucleotides long. The record is from Rfam. NCBI's taxonomy places the organism in Eukaryota, Fungi, Mucoromycota, Mucoromycetes, Mucorales, Cunninghamellaceae.